RNAcentral lists this long non-coding RNA (424 nucleotides) under Podarcis lilfordi (Lilford's wall lizard). Lineage: Eukaryota; Metazoa; Chordata; Lepidosauria; Squamata; Lacertidae. The record is from RNAcentral.
CCUCAGAUGCUCAGGUGUUUAAAGAGAAGUAGGGUCCCUCCCCCUUUCUGGGAAGGAAGGACCCUUAAAUUUAACAGAUACCUGCUUUCUGUGGAUCCUGCUGUGUACCUUUUCCAGAUCAAUAUGCUGAAUCAUAGAAGGAGAUUCUACAGAAAUUAAGACACUCAGAGUGAUCAUUGUAAUUCUACAAUUUACCACAGAAUACACUAAGGGACUGGGAGAGGCAGCUAUAUUAAAGAAGCUGGAUAUUGCACUCCAGUUUAAAUCAAAACAAUAAUCUCUAAGCUUCUAAAACAGAGUUUCCAUAGUAACAUGUCUUCAAGUAUGGGAAUAUGCAUCCAUAAAUAAGUCAUUUUAAGAAUUUUCAGUCUCUUUUUUCAUUCAGAGAAGCAUCCAUCUUCAGGUUCUAAUUCACAGCUCAAGU